Long non-coding RNA from Heterocephalus glaber (naked mole-rat), 1605 nucleotides. RefSeq lists it as uncharacterized. NCBI's taxonomy places the organism in Eukaryota, Metazoa, Chordata, Mammalia, Rodentia, Bathyergidae. The record is from RefSeq and is a predicted model, not a curated record.
UGGCCCUUGAGCCAACACAGCAGUCCAAAGAAGCUACUCUCACCAUGCUUGAGAAGACACCACACAGAUUCUGAGGGUGAUGCCUGGGAAUCCCACAUGCUCCACCCCCAUCUGAUCAAGUCUUCCAGCCCAGGAACCAAGUAGGGAGUGGAGAAGCUCUACCACAACCAGCCCAGCCACCAGGUGACAGCGAACCCAGGAGACACUGGUGGGCAGGAAGUGCAGAGCUGCUCCCAACUCCUGACCCAUGGAAGCUGAGGGAGACCUUCAGUAAGGACAGUGGUGUAAGCAGCUAAGUUCCUUGGGUUCUGAUGUAUAAAUGAACAUUUCACAUAAACUAGAUGAAAGAAUCACUCAACCAAUUUAAUGCUGUGCUCGGUUCUUUAAGAGAAGAAGAGAAUGCUGGCAUGGACCUUUUUCUUCAUAGAAGGAUAACGGGAUCAAUAAAGCCGGCUUUGAGAGAGGAAGGAACUGAUCUUCAUGCUGGUAUCAAAUGACGCAUCCGUGCAGCACGGAGAAGGACCAUGCCCACUAAGUGACCUAAUUGCACAUUCUCAAAACACUGUAUUCCUGUUAUUGGCUUCAUCAGCAUUGUCCUCCUAGAGGUUGCUCUUAAUUAGCCCAGGAGAGGACUGAAGGAAAGAACUGUGACUGCCACCUUCAGCACAGAGGGUCUGGCCAGGAAGAGGCAGGGACCCAUGAUGGUCGUCACUCACCCAACGCUUUAUCUGCACCAGCAGAGUCCCCGGUGUUGAAUCUCCCCUUCCACCCUGCAGCAACAUCUCAAAGAUGGGCUGCUUAUUCCUUUCUACAGAUGAAGAAGAGGGAGGUGUGGUGAGGUUGGGAAGCUCAUCCUCAUUUCACAGCUAGGGAUUUCGGAAGAGAAUUUCCUACACAGAUCUGACUGAUCUCCCCUAAAAUGAGGGACCGCUACGACUCCCCAUCAUGCCAAGCUACCAGCUAUCCAUCAGCAAAAUAAGGGAGAAGGUAUACUGAGUCCGUUGAACCUCACCUCUCAGUUUGCAUCCUCAGAAAUAAGUCCAGAGAGGGAGAAUGACUUGCCAAAGUCACACAGCAGAGCCAGGACGAAGUCCCUUGGUUUGGGACAAAUACUCUCAAGCCAUUGGCAAACACACAACACACUUCUGCUCUUCUCCAGUCCUCCUCUGGACACCAGCAAUAAAUAAAAUAGUGCUGGCCAGAGAUAUGGGGAGACAAAAGGUUGUUCUAAUAGAAGGGGAUAUUAUGGGUUAUCUAGAUUAUUUUUCCUAACCAACCAGCAGACUUUUAUUAAGUGCCUAAUUUCUGCAAAACUGAGCUGAGGUGAUGAGAGAGUCUCAGCAAUGAAAAACAAGCAUACCAAAGGGGCAUGUGUUUCUUUUCUUACUCUUCAGUUGCAAUCUCAAAGGCAAGUUUGAGCUUAUAAGCAAAAUGAGGCAAAUAAGAUUUUUUAAGAUGACAAAAGCUGCAAUUGCAUGUGAUACACACAGCUAAUGAAGGCCUCAAAGUGCUUCCUUCCUGAUUUACCUUGAUCACCCAACAUAGUUUUCCAGUAUUGAAGUAAUCAGGUUUUUUGAAUUCACUAGUUGAAAAAGUAAAUGAAAA